Molecule: long non-coding RNA, 4571 nt
Organism: Neofelis nebulosa (Clouded leopard)
Lineage: Eukaryota; Metazoa; Chordata; Mammalia; Carnivora; Felidae
Exons: 4
Source: RefSeq, a predicted model, not a curated record
GAAUCCUGGUUAGCAUACAAAGAGCUCAUGCGAUCUGAUGAACACCAGACCCCUCAGAGUUAGGAAGUGGAAGUAUUCUCGCUCUCCAGAGACACUUUCACACUAUUCCCCUUCAUCCUACACUCUUACAAAAACCUCUCAGGGUGCCUGGUGGCUCAGUUGGUUGAGCAUCCAACUCUUGGUUUUGACUCAGGUCAUGAGCUCAUGUGCUGACAGUGAGAAGCCUGCUUGGGAUUCUCUCUCUCCCUCUCUCUCUCUGCCUCUUCCUCUCUCUCUCUCUCUCUCUUUCUCAAAAUGAAUAAGUGAAAAAAACACACACCUCUGCUCUUUGGUUCACACUGUACAGACAUGCCCUACCCACCUUGUAAUAACACUCUGCUGAUCACCUUUUUGCUUCUUGCUCCCACCAACUGAAGGAAUUUCCUGUCUACAUGGCUCCCACCAUUACCCUUGAAGAUCUCAUUAUGCAAGGGCAUGACCUACCCAGCAUCCCUACAUCUCAGUUCCUUUACCUCCUGAUUCCUGAUUAUCUCCAUUCCUCCACAGCCACCCUUGGUUACACUCUGCACUUGCUACCGCCAAACAUUCAUCACCUCACAAAUCACAGUUUCAAACAUCCCAUUUCUUAUUCAUGAUCUCACCCCUCCAGCUUUCUCGCUUGGCCUUAUUAAGCUUUUAGAUCCAUGGAUCCUUGCACCUUGGUUUUUUGGGGUGUUUUGUUUUGUUUUUGUUUGUACUUUUGGCCUCCCUUCCCCCAUACCGGCUUAGAUUCCUGGGCUCAUCAUUAUAAUUACCCUGUUGCAAAUAUGCUAGGUUUACUCAACCUCUUCUUUCAUAGAAUCUACUUACAGGCCCCCAGUCCUGGAUGAACUUCACCAUCCACCUCCCCUGUGUCGAUGCCUGAGCAACUGAGUAUUGUCACAAAAGUCAAAAAACCAAUUCAGAUGGUCCUCAGUUGUAUAUUUUGUUGGAUUUCAAGGAGGAAGAGGUGAAAAGUUUUAUACUGACCUCUCACAGGUGAGGAUGUGGCUGAGCCAAUGACUGAAGACAUCUGAAGGAAGAUACUAACCAGAUGAACAGGUAUCUCCGAAGUGUCUCAGUGGGAGCAAGAAAAAUGGCCACAGCAAGGUUGGCUGAAAGGUUGGAGAGACUGAACACUGUCAGGCUUAAGGGCUGUCAAACAUUGUACUUGGAACAAAGUGCAAAGUGAGUGGGGAGACUUCUCUACCGAACCCUACUUAACUGGUGCCUGUAAAUAACUGGAGUAAAACGGACACAUUCUAAGGCAUGAAGAAACUUUAGCCACUAUUAGUUUGUAGGUACAUAAGAGAUUCAGCUCACAGGUCAAGAAAGUGUUUCACCAUAUGAUGUCUUUUGUAUGGUAAGCUAUUUAAAGUAUAGAAUACAAGCAAUACAAUUAUAAGGAAAAUUUUCUGACUUUUAUUAUAACAUUUUGCCCCAUGCUUUUCAACAUAUUUAUAUGCUUUUUAAUGUUGUCCUUUCAUAUAAAAAUUUUGUUAUGCCGCCGAGCAGAUUAGGAGCUCCUUGAGGGAAGGGAUUCUAUCCUAUACAACCGAUGUGGAAUUCUGGGUGUUUGGUAAGUGCUCAUCAAAUACUUCAUGGAACAUUGAAUAUUGUGGACCUUGUACUUUAUGCUGCUAACUCCAGGUCCAAGAUACGGCUGGCUUCUGUGGAAAGUACCACCCCAGCACCUUAUGUCAGACUAUGACAAAAUAUCCCUGGGAAGCCCCCAGAAGUUUGUUUGGUUGCUUUCUGUUGUUGCCAUCACUUGAGUGACAUGUGGGUCUCCAGAGAGAGACUUUGCCUUCUCCUUUUCUCACAGAGCAACAUGCUCACUGUUGGCUGAAGGAUACGUAUGUUUUAUGGAGAGCAGAUUAGGUUACACAUAGGCAUUGUCUUCACUACUCACGGCACCAGGCACUGCUUUGGGACAACAAGCAGUCUCCUGACUGCCACCACGGGUGGGAUCCUUCGUAGCUCAAAGCUUUGACUCCCAACCUAUCCUAGUAAUCUGUCUUGCUUGUGCCAUUUGGUGUUGAGAUCCCUGAUUUCUGAAGGCAUAAAGUAACUUUUGCCCAGGAUUUGACUUUCUCUCCUUCUAACCACUAGAGCCCACACCAACCAAUCUCCUGAAGCGCUAUUGUGUCAGGCUUGAAAUGGAGGCUCAAUAUUUUUUGCUGCUUUAAGAUGUUAUAAAGUCCAGAGGCUCCCCGGUGGCCUAACUGCAAGUUCCCGUCCCUUGUCUCUUCAUGCGGAUGUCUCUUAGCCAAACAGCCCUCCUCAUCAUGGGGACCAGGCACACCACCUGUUUAUCAUUCAUCGUGUGCAGGAUUCAGUUCCCUGUCAGCCCACAGAAUUACUCAAACAAGCCAAUCACAUCCUUCCUUGGGAGCCAGGGGGCACCUCACUGUCUUGAUACUACAAAGUUUGCUUCCCACAGCCCCCACUUGUUCACCCUGACCUCAAGUGCAACCCUCAUGUGACUCUGUGUGGCAUGGAGUGUCCUCCUCCCCCAAGCUAAGUAUAUAUGACCAAUAAACUGCUGUUAAUCUCGUCUGUUCAGUGUCAGGUGUCACAGCCAUGCCCAUAAUCCCAGGGCGGGAAUCCUCCCCUUACUGAUGGGGUGAAGUGGAGGCGAUUAAAACAGCUACGCCCACCCCGUUCCUGAAGUGAAUCCUCUGGCUAUUAGUUCUUGUGCCUGUUUCUCAGAACUCUAAAGAUGCACCUGUUCCCUGUGGAGUUUUGGAUUCUUCUGCUGCCCUUCUGGAGGGCUCUCUGCUGCAUUUCCCCAGACUUACCCACCCUCAGUUCUUCACACUGAGCCAGUUACUGGCUCUUGCAAUACCAACAACAACAUGGAAAGGAUUCAGGAGCCACUUCUUCCAGUCAAUAACAAGUAAUUAUUAAAUAUUUCACUGUCUUUGUCUGGCAGCAUUAAUGUUCUCCAAAUCUUCUUCAGUAUUUUCCUACAUCCAUCCCACCAUGCUGAGGGCAUACACAUAUAGUCUGGGGAUAAAGGGAGUUUCUGCUAUGGAGACUCAAAUGUCAGAUAGUUAUACAAUAGUAUACCUUAAAAAAAAUAAAACUCCACUACUCUGAAUAAGAAGCCACUUCAUUUUUUCACUUUCUAACAACAUGGAAACUCACCAAAGUAAGGUCAUGGUAGAAUGCACUAUUAACUAACCUAUCUACUUCUAACUACAGUUUGUACAGUAGGCUUUCACAUGCCCUCAGGAGUCAGAAGGGAAAAAGAACACCCCUCCUGUGUUACCUCUACUGAAUAUUGGGGGAUUCCUCCCCUAUUCUAGGAUGUAGAUCUCCCUUCUGCAACUUUACGGCAGUCUGACCAGUUCACCUGAAGAUUUAAAAAUUAGAUGUAUUUGCAUUAGCCAGAAGAUAUAGGUGAAUAUUUACCUAACUCCUGAUUAGGGAAGGCCUAAGUUUAAAAGCAAAGUAAGAAACCCUAAUGAGAAAAGGUGGUAGAUGUAACUUUUUCUAAAAUUAUAAAUUCCUAAGUGAAGUGAAAGGUCAAAUUGGGGAAAAGAUAAAACAGAUUUGGCUGUCAAUGUGUUCAUGGUCUUACCACUAAAAGUAGUACUCACAAAAAAGACAGAUAUAUAUACCCCAAUAGAAAUAUUCUUACAGAAAAAGCAUCAAAAGGUAUGAUUAAGGAGUUAACAAAAGAAAAAUACAAACCACCAAUAGUUCUAUCCAAAAGAUCCAUCAUCUCUAGCAAACAAAUAACUACAAAUUAAAGUUAAGACGAAGAUACUAAUUUUUGUCUAUCAAACCGGCAGUGAGUGGGCUCUCCCACCUUGUGAGUCUUGGAAGGCAGGGCUCAUCCCUUCCUAUGAGAGGUACACACACCAGCUACUCUCAUUCCCAGCCUCUAGGCUUGGGCACUCAGAUGUAAUGACCCAAGAUUGUGCAUCUAUUGCUUGUCAUGCCUAGAAACUGGAAGAGAGCAGAACUCUUUCUGGCUGCUACAGCAACAUCCAAUUUCCGGGAGCUGCCGAGGUAGUGAUGCCAGCAUGGUGUCUGAUGUCCAGGCCCAGGGCCAGUAGUGGCAGCAAGUGCAGGCUCCUAUUCUGCCUCAGUGGCAGUAGCAGAGGAAUUCUUGCUGCACUGGGUCAAUAGUGAGCCAUUGGCUGGGGCUCUGGCUGCCCAGCCUUCCUCCAUUGCUGCCCAUUACCUAAGCCUUAGGUUCUAACUUUCCUGACAAAUCUGUGGGCUGCCCAACACCUUGUAAUCAAAUCUCACAGUAGUGUCUGUUGUUUGACUGAUACAGUGUUAUAUACAGAAAGCUUUCCAACCUUAUCAUUUCACUUUCAGGACAUAUCUUAGGUAAAUAACUAGAUGUGCACAUUUAAGUAAAGGAUUUCCUUCUAUGCCCUGUUGAGAGGAGCAAAAACAUGGAAACAAUCUGAAUACAAUCUCUCUACAAUAGGGAAAAUACGUGUGGAAUAUUAUAUAGUGAUUAAAAAUUGUGUUCUUAAAGAAUAUUAACAGAUGUAUAAAUACUCAUAAUACUAAGUUUAAAAAGCAAAAUG